GCGCCCCCACAGCCAUGAUAGGAAUAGGAGGAGAAUCUCAUCCUAACAUGAGCAAAAGUUGAAGGCCCGAUUAUUUAGAGACCGGAUGGAGGGAGAGGCUCUUGCAACGGUCCUAAUGUGCCCCCACAGUCAUGUUAGGAAUAGGAGGAAAACCUCGUCCUAACAUGAGCAAAGUCGAAGGUCUGAUUAUUUAGAGAUCGGAUGGGGGGAGAGGCCCUUGCAACGGCCUUUAUGCGUCCCCACAGCCAUGAU
RNAcentral lists this long non-coding RNA (252 nucleotides) under Elaeis guineensis (African oil palm). RNAcentral describes it as "long non-coding RNA (EGUI_LNC020702)". The record is from RNAcentral. Lineage: Eukaryota; Viridiplantae; Streptophyta; Magnoliopsida; Arecales; Arecaceae.